GAAAAGUCUUGGGAUGACCUGAGGGUAGGGGUGAAAGGCCAAUCAAACUCGGAAAUAGCUCGUACUCCCCGAAAUGCAUUUAGGUGCAGCGUUGAUUUAGUUUUAUAGAGGUAGAGCUACUGAUUGGAUGCGGGGGCUUCACCGCCUACCAAUUCCUGACAAACUCCGAAUGCUAUAAAAUGAUGAUCAGCAGUGAGGGCAUGGGUGCUAAGGUCCAUGUCCGAGAGGGAAAGAACCCAGACCAUCAGCUAAGGUCCCCAAAUAUAUGUUAAGUUGAAAAAACGAGGUUUGACUGCCCAGACAGCUAGGAUGUUGGCUUGGAAGCAGCCAUUCAUUUAAAGAGUGCGUAACAGCUCACUAGUCGAGCGAUCCGGCAUGGAUAAUAAUCGGGCAUAAGUGUAUUACCGAAGCUAUGGCAUCUGAUAAAGAUGGGUAGGGGAGCAUUGUAGUUGUGUUGAA
Molecule: ribosomal RNA, 459 nt
Filed under: Zooxanthella nutricula
Lineage: Eukaryota; Dinophyceae; Peridiniales
Description: Brandtodinium nutricula partial Bacterial large subunit ribosomal RNA
Rfam family: Bacterial large subunit ribosomal RNA
Source: RNAcentral